CUGAGUGUUAGGCAAAUCCGGCACUCAUAAGGUUAAGCUGUGAUGGGGAGAGGAAAUUGUUUCCUCGAGUCGUUGAUUUCACACUGCCAAGAAAAGCCUCUAGAUAGAUAACAGGUGCCCGUACCGCAAACCGACACAGGUAGUCAAGAUGAGAAUUCUAAGGUGAGCGAGCGAACUCUCGUUAAGGAACUCGGCAAAAUGACCCCGUAACUUCGGGAGAAGGGGUGCUCUUUAGGGUGCAAGCCCAGAAGAGCCGCAGUGAAUAGGCCCAAGCGACUGUUUAUCAAAAACACAGGUCUCUGCUAAACCGUAAGGUGAUGUAUAGGGGCUGACGCCUGCCCGGUGCUGGAAGGUUAAGAGGAGUGGUUAGCUUCUGCGAAGCUACGAAUCGAAGCCCCAGUAAACGGCGGCCGUAACUAUAACGGUCCUAAGGUAGCGAAAUUCCUUGUCGGGUAAGUUCCGACCCGCACGAAAGGCGUAACGAUUUGGGCACUGUCUCAACGAGAGACUCGGUGAAAUCAUAGUACCUGUGAAGAUGCAGGUUACCCGCGACAGGACGGAAAGACCCCGUGGAGCUUUACUGUAGCCUGAUAUUGAAAUUCGGCACAGCUUGUACAGGAUAGGUAGGAGCCAUUGAAACGUGAGCGCUAGCUUACGUGGAGGCGCUGGUGGGAUACUACCCUAGCUGUGUUGGCUUUCUAACCCGCACCACUUAUCGUGGUGGGAGACAGUGUCAGGCGGGCAGUUUGACUGGGGCGGUCGCCUCCUAAAAGGUAACGGAGGCGCUCAAAGGUUCCCUCAGAAUGGUUGGAAAUCAUUCAUAGAGUGUAAAGGCAUAAGGGAGCUUGACUGCGAGACCUACAAGUCGAGCAGGGUCGAAAGACGGACUUAGUGAUCCGGUGGUUCCGCAUGGAAGGGCCAUCGCUCAACGGAUAAAAGCUACCCCGGGGAUAACAGGCUUAUCUCCCCCAAGAGUUCACAUCGACGGGGAGGUUUGGCACCUCGAUGUCGGCUCAUCGCAUCCUGGGGCUGUAGUCGGUCCCAAGGGUUGGGCUGUUCGCCCAUUAAAGCGGUACGCGAGCUGGGUUCAGAACGUCGUGAGACAGUUCGGUCCCUAUCCGUCGUGGGCGUAGGAAAUUUGAGAGGAGCUGUCCUUAGUACGAGAGGACCGGGAUGGACAUACCUCUGGUGUACCAGUUGUCGUGCCAACGGCAUAGCUGGGUAGCUAUGUAUGGACGGGAUAAGUGCUGAAAGCAUCUAAGCAUGAAGCCCCCCUCAAGAUGAGAUUUCCCAACUUCGGUUAUAAGAUCCCUCAAAGAUGAUGAGGUUAAUAGGUUCGAGGUGGAAGCGUGGCGACACGUGGAGCUGACGAAUACUAAUCGAUCGAAGACUUAAUCAA
This 1399-nucleotide ribosomal RNA is filed under the name Staphylococcus lugdunensis. RNAcentral describes it as "bacterial LSU rRNA". It matches the Rfam family "Bacterial large subunit ribosomal RNA", at positions 1525 to 2925 of the family's 2925-position model. The record is from RNAcentral. Lineage: Bacteria; Bacillati; Bacillota; Bacilli; Caryophanales; Staphylococcaceae.